RNAcentral lists this transfer RNA (77 nucleotides) under Actinomycetota bacterium. RNAcentral's name for it is "Actinobacteria bacterium (freshwater metagenome) tRNA-Leu". It matches the Rfam family "tRNA". From Rfam's summary of the family: Transfer RNA (tRNA) molecules are approximately 80 nucleotides in length. Their secondary structure includes four short double-helical elements and three loops (D, anti-codon, and T loops). Further hydrogen bonds mediate the characteristic L-shaped molecular structure. tRNAs have two regions of fundamental functional importance: the anti-codon, which is responsible for specific mRNA codon recognition, and the 3' end, to which the tRNAs corresponding amino acid is attached (by aminoacyl-tRNA synthetases). tRNAs cope with the degeneracy of the genetic code in two manners: having more than one tRNA (with a specific anti-codon) for a particular amino acid; and 'wobble' base-pairing, i.e. permitting non-standard base-pairing at the 3rd anti-codon position. The record is from RNAcentral. Lineage: Bacteria; Bacillati; Actinomycetota.
GCCGGUGUAGCCCAAUUGGCAGAGGCAGCAGGUUUAGGUCCUGCGUGUUGGGGGUUCGAGUCCCUUCGCCGGCACCA